CACCUGAGAUCCAGGCUCUGCUAGACUUGUCCCCAACGUCCUACUCCCCCAGUCUCCCACAGUCAGGGUGCCCCAUAUCAGCUGAGACCUAGGGUUCUGUCUGAAUUUGUUUGUUGUUUCCUAAGGUUCUAACCUGGCAUCUUGCUCAAACUCCUUGGAGGACUCAGACAACCACAGGGAGCCUGAGAAGGAGCUGUUGUCUGGUGGACUUAAUCAUCGCCCAGACAAGACACAUGAUAAGGUGAGCAGUUCAGCUGUGUGACACACUCCUGUGAUAUGUUGCAUUACCCUGGGUCCAAAGCAAAGGGACCAACCAAUCCAGGUGGAGACUUCCAAACUGAUUUCUCACUGUGACCCUGGGUGCCCUGGAAGUCUCUUCAGAGGCCAGGCUGGCCUUGAACUCAAAAGAUGUGCUUGCCUCUGCCUCCCGAGUGCUGGCAUUAAAGGUGUGCACCAGCAUCAGCAAUCACCACCACUCAGCUUGAGCAUCAUCUUAUUUAAGUCAUUGCAACAGAGGGAUCUGCCCAGCAAAUGACAAAGGUCCUACAGCUGGGAGAGAAGCACAGUUGGAUUUUGCCUCUGGACUUACAGGUAUGGUUGUAUAAGGACGUCAGCUUGCUCCAAAGCAUCUAUAAGGAGAAGAGCAUCGACAAAGCAUCUAUUUCAGUGUGCCAGGAAUUCAUGCUUUUAUGCUUGAAGAACUACUGAAUCCGGCUGAGAACAGCAGAAGCCCAUGGUGUCCUGGACGGAAGUUGCUCUCCCCAGUUCAGCUGAGAAUUUGGAAAUACCAACAGAUGUUUCCAUGGGAACGAGCCUCAGAGAUCAUGAUAAAUAAGAGCAUCCUCCAGAGUAAGAACUUGGGCUGAGUGAUUCCAGCAGCGGAGAAGCUGGAAGAGUGACGACACAAUCCAGCAGAAAUAGCCAGGCCUCUGACAAGUCGGUGGGAGCGAUUAGGACCAGCCAGGACCCUAGGAGAAGUUCUCUGCCGAGUGUGCCUCUCACGACAAAGAAGACCAGCAAAGACGUGAACCCAAUGAAGUGUUGCAAAGCUGUCUCUGCAAGCACCCAGUCACGGUCCAUUGAGUCUUAUGUAUACUCUCUCCAAACAUGUGUCCUCCCACGGGCCUUGCCUCAGCAAAACGCCAUGUAAAUCUGCAUCACAUGAUAUAUCCGGAAACUUUCGCUUCCCAGUCUGAAAUAACUAUUUUCACUCUCUAGCCAUAGCCCUCUGAAUGUACCCCAUCUUGUCUGAAAUGAAUACUUUAAUGUAUUAUUUACUUUACUUGGUAAUUAUGGUUUUGCAUGCUGUAUUACCUACUCUGGUGACACUGAACAAAGGCCUGAGAGGAGCAACUUGGAGGAAGAAAGGUACAUUUUGGCUUAUGGUUUCAGUCAGUCACGGUGAGGAAGGCAGGGCAGAGUGGCUCUAUUCAUGGUGGCAGGAGUGUGAGGUGAUGGCUUGUUUACGUGGUGGCAGACAGGAAACAAAGAGAGUAGGCAGCACUGAGACAAGCAGACAGAGGGGAUAGUUUAGUAACCAGGACUCUACUUAUUUUGGGUUCUGCACAUACCUUUCUUUUAAUAAUGCACGUGGCAGCCCAAAAGCCUUACCUACGGGUACCAGGCACGCACACAUGCAGUACUACGUACUGAGCAAUGCACCUAGCAUCUGUUAGUGACCUAGGACCCUCAUCUGCACCAAGCUACAUACACGCCCCAGUUUGAACAGUCAGUCUCUCUCUCCUUAUUAGCCAUCAAACUUAGACAGAUUAUAUUCCAUUGUGCUCUGCUUAUCAGGAAUGAAGUCAGCUUGAACUGGCUUUGGUUGCAUGUACAAUGUAAAACUGCUCUCAAGUAAACUUUAAGGGAUCGUCCUCUAUUUAUUAUCUUAUGCCUGUGCAUAAUUAGGUAUGCCUAUGAUUAAAAUCAGGUGUAUUAUGGGAAGAGACACACAUAGUAGAAAAAUGAUUGUAUGAUCCAAUCUAUUAAUAUACAUACUACACUCUUAGGAACCAAACUCUUCCUUUUCUGAGCCCCCUGUGUUGAUGACUGUGGCCUGUGUUUCCACCAGAGACCAUGUGGAUGUCCACGGUCUAUGCUGUGGCCUGAAGCCAUGUUAGUGUCCCUGGGCAGUGCAGCCACCAAGGGCCAUGUUGAUGUGAAUAGCCAUGCUGAGGCCUGAGGUCUGUGGUCUGUGCUGCCCCCGAAGCCAGGGCUGUGUUUGUGGUCUGUGCUGUGGCCCGGAACCACAGGGAAGCCCAUAAUCUGAGCUCUCGCUGACCACAAAGAGCAAGGAAGUUGGUUUUGCAGUGCUAUCGAUGACUGCCGAUGCAUAGUUGAAAAGGGACAUGGAAGGCUUCUGUGACACCUCCCCAGCCCCCAAGAAAAGUAGCAGCUUAAACGGGAAGAUAUUGAAGAGAACUCUUACAACGUGCAAUAAGAAUGCUGAAGUUAGCCCUCCACAGUAGACGGCGCCAGGCAGGGCUGCAGGAUGACAACGACUGCGUUCUAUUUGGGGGCAGGCCCCUGAGAGUUUGACC
RNAcentral lists this small RNA (2540 nucleotides) under Rattus norvegicus (Norway rat). RNAcentral's name for it is "uncharacterized LOC102555697". The record is from RNAcentral. Lineage: Eukaryota; Metazoa; Chordata; Mammalia; Rodentia; Muridae.